This 27-nucleotide non-coding RNA is filed under the name Mus musculus (house mouse). RNAcentral also lists the same sequence under 1 other name. Lineage: Eukaryota; Metazoa; Chordata; Mammalia; Rodentia; Muridae. The record is from RNAcentral.
UCUGUCCCAGAGUUGGCUGAGCCACAU